AUAGCAGCCUUCCAGCAUCUGAAGGGGGGCUAUAGGGAUGCUGGGGAGGGACUCUUCAUUAGGGACUGUAGUGAUAGGACAAGGGGUAACGGGUUAAAACUUAAACAGGGGAAGUUUAUAUUGGAUAUAAGGAAGAAAUUCUUUACUGUUAGGGUGGUGAGGCACGGGGAUAGGUUGCCCAGGGAGGUUGUGAAUGCUCCAUUCCUGGCAGUGUUCAAGGCCAGGUUGGACAGGGCCUUGGGUGAGAUGAUUUAGUGUGAGGUGUCCCUGCCCAUGGCAGGGGGGUUGGAACUAGAUGAUCUUAAGGUCCUUUCCAACCCUAACUAUUCUAUGAUUCUAUGAUUCUAUGUUUAUCGCCCUGGUCUGGCUUAAGUCCUGGGAACAGUAAAGAAAACACCAGGUGCUCUUGCCCUGGACAGGCUUAAACCUUGGGAACGGUGAAGAAAACACCAGGUGUUAAUGCCCUGCUGGGGUCUAAGCCUUGGGAACUGUAAAGAGAACAAUGAAGGGUAAAGAUCGGUUAGCCAAACAAAGCAGGAGGUUUGCAAGGCGGUGCAUCUCAAAGACAGAUCGAACAGUGUGAAUAUUUGUAACCCUUAGUAGUUUUGCUAAAUCAGGAUGAUAAGGGAGUAAAAGAGUGGAAAGUUACUGCUUAGCACUUAGUAGACUAUAAAAGGGGUGCGAGACACGAAAUAAAGGUCUUCAGAUUUCACCAGA
This is a long non-coding RNA of Pezoporus occidentalis (night parrot), 717 nucleotides long. RefSeq lists it as uncharacterized. Lineage: Eukaryota; Metazoa; Chordata; Aves; Psittaciformes; Psittacidae. The transcript is spliced from 2 exons. The record is from RefSeq and is a predicted model, not a curated record.